UACGUAGGGUGCGAGCGUUGUCCGGAAUUAUUGGGCGUAAAGGGCUCGUAGGCGGUCCGUUGCGUCAGGAGUGAAAACUCGGGGCUUAACCCCGAGCCUGCUUCUGAUACGGGCAGACUAGAGGUAUGCAGGGGAGAACGGAAUUCCUGGUGUAGCGGUGAAAUGCGCAGAUAUCAGGAGGAACACCGGUGGCGAAGGCGGUUCUCUGGGCAUUACCUGACGCUGAGGAGCGAAAGUGUGGGGAGCGAACAGG
Molecule: ribosomal RNA, 253 nt
Filed under: uncultured bacterium
Lineage: Bacteria
Description: partial 16S ribosomal RNA
Rfam family: Bacterial small subunit ribosomal RNA
Source: RNAcentral